This 174-nucleotide ribosomal RNA is filed under the name Pseudomonas aeruginosa. RNAcentral's name for it is "partial 16S ribosomal RNA". It matches the Rfam family "Bacterial small subunit ribosomal RNA", at positions 1 to 174 of the family's 1533-position model. The record is from RNAcentral. Lineage: Bacteria; Pseudomonadati; Pseudomonadota; Gammaproteobacteria; Pseudomonadales; Pseudomonadaceae.
GAACUGAAGAGUUUGAUCAUGGCUCAGAUUGAACGCUGGCGGCAGGCCUAACACAUGCAAGUCGAGCGGAUGAAGGGAGCUUGCUCCUGGAUUCAGCGGCGGACGGGUGAGUAAUGCCUAGGAAUCUGCCUGGUAGUGGGGGAUAACGUCCGGAAACGGGCGCUAAUACCGCAU